AAGUAUUCAGAUACAAUUAAAAUAUCAUUCUGUUUCCAUGCUCAAAGAAAUAUAAACAUCCAGGAAAGAAAAACUGGAACAUCUUCACUCUUCAGUCAGAGAAAACCAACUGAUUUAUCAGAUACCAACCUGAGCAGUGAUUCAGAAGACAUCUCAGUCUACGAUUCUUAUAAUGAUUCACAAAGCAAGGACCUUGUCAACUGUGACACUCAGAAUUACAAAUCAUUAAAUACGAGAUUAUGUGGAGAGAGAAAAGGACUUGGAUGCAGAUGCCCCAGGGGAAGCAGAGAUCAAGUUAAACUCAGGAAUUACAAAGAGUCUGUUCAGUCUUGUGCCCUAUGUAGAAAUAAAAGUUCUGGUUCAUCCUGUAAGUAUGAUGUGUUACUGAAAUAA
RNAcentral lists this long non-coding RNA (393 nucleotides) under Manacus vitellinus (golden-collared manakin). RNAcentral's name for it is "lncRNA (ENSMVIG00005016123.1)". The record is from RNAcentral. Lineage: Eukaryota; Metazoa; Chordata; Aves; Passeriformes; Pipridae.